AUUCUUGGCAUGCGGCUGUUCUCAGUUCUGCGGUAUAAGGGGGUGUCUUAGCUUCACUCUCAAGUUCUGGAAUAUUCACAAGGGUGUUUUUGUCUAGUCUUCUCCUGUUACCCAGGCUGGAGUGCAGUGGUGUGAUCAUAGCUCACUGCAGCUUCAGUCUGCUGGGCUCAAGCAAUCCUCCAACCUCAGCCUCCUGAGUAGCUGGGACCACAGGUGCAUGCUACCAUGCCUGGCUCCCUCAACAUAGAAGACCCUGUCUCGUCAAAGAAAAUUUUUAUUUUAUUGCUCAGGCUGGUCUCAAAUCUCUGGCCUCAAGUGAUCCCCCUGCCUCAGCCUCCCAAUGUGCUGGGAUUAUAGGUAUGGACCCCCAUGCCCACCCUCCUUUGGAGAACCAAAUAACAUGAAUGUUAGGUUGCUUAAGGCUGUUCCAUAGCUCAUUGGUCCUUUCUAAAUUGUUUAAAUUAUUCUUUCUUCUAUUUUAUUUUGGGUAGUGUCUAGUGCCAUGUCUUCAAGUUCACUUAUAUUUUCCUCUGCAAUAUCAAGUCUGCCAUUAAUCCCAUCCAGAGUGUUUUUAUCCGAGAUAUUAUAGUUUUGAUCUUUCCUUUGGCUUCUUGAAUAUGUAAAAUACAGUUUUAACAACUAUUUUUAUGUCUUUGUCUAGUAAUUAUAUCAAGUAUAUCAUCUAUGGGUCAGUUCUAGCUGAUUUUACUCCUAACUAUGGAUAACGUUUUCCUGCUUCUUUGCAUGACUGGUCAUCUUUUAUUGGAUGCCAGACAUUGCAAGUAUUUUCUUUUGGGGUGCUAGAUAUUUUUGUAUUUUUAUCAAUAUCUUGAGCUUUGUUCUGGGAUGCAAUUAAGUUUCCUGGCAAUAAUUUGUUCCCUUUGGAUACCACUUGUUUGCUUCCUGUUCCUCAGGAAUCCACUAUUCGUUAUUACCUGAUUUCCAAUGUUUUAAAUAUUGUUAUUUUUUUCAUGUUCUUUAUUUGUUUCAUGUAAGAGGGUAAAUCCAGUCUCUUUUACUCCAUCUUGGCCAGAAAUUGAAAUAUCUCUUCAUUAAAACUUGAAAUAAAUAUGUUACAGGAGUUUUACUUCAGCAGAAUCUGGGUUCAUUCAAACAUGUGGCUCUCUCUCAGAGACUGGAAAUAGGGACGCUACGGGCCUCCCCGUGCCCCACCCGCCACCUGAGCAGUGUACACUGUACCAAAUAUGUAGUCUUGUAUCCCUCACUGCCUCCAGCCUUCCAUGCCCCAGGCCCCACUGGUAAGGAGCUCCCUGAUCGUCCAUAGGGGAGGGGGCAGAGCUUAGGUGAACCAGAGGCCUAAGUUCAAGGGGCCACAAUAGAAGGGAAUAGGAACACUGAUUGUUCUAUGGCCCUGUCUUGUGGGCUAGGAAGAGAGGACUACAGUGAAAAUAUGAGAAGACCCCAUGAGUUCAGAUUAUCUGCAAUACCUAUGAAAUAUUGAAACCUCAGUGUGGCAAUGAGAAGUCUGCAGCUUCAGUGGCAGCAUCGUGGUAGUAGGAAGAGGCCACAAGAAUGGUUGGUGUCUGGCAUUAGUGCUCAUAGAAGAAAGACAGAAAAGGAGGAAAGUGAUGGCUGUUAUAAUGAAAGGUUCAGUGCCUUUCUGUCCUUUUCUUUUUCUUUUUCUUUUUUUUUUGAGACAGAGUCUCGCUCUGUAGCCCAGGCUGGAGUGCAGUGGCGCGAUCUCGGCUCACUCAAGCUCUGCCUCCUGGGUUCAUGCCAUUCUCCUGCCUCAGCCUCCCGAGUAGCUGGGACUACAGGCGUCCGCCACCGCACCUGGCUAAUUUUUUGUAUUUUUAGUAGAGACGGGGUUUCACCGUGUUAGCCAGGCUGGUCUCGAUCUCCUGACCUCAUGAUCUGCCCUCCUUGGCCUCCCAAAGUGCUAGGAUUACAGGUGUGAGCCACUGCACCCGGCCCUCUCUGUCCUUUUCGGGUAGGCAUUUCAGGGGGCUAGAUCCCCAACUGAAGGAUCUAGGUCAAAGCAAUGCCUCGGGAAGCAAAAAUGGCCUGUGACCGGGAAGUCCUUGUGCACGCACAUACACAGGCCAGUCAGGAUGAUAGUGGGAGCUGCAGUGUAGUGUGCUUGCUUGAAUAAGUGAAUUUUUAAAGUCAUUAGUGACAAAAGUGACUUUUUUUCCCCCCGGACAUGAGAUCUGACCUGUCUUUCUGUGGUGAUGAGGUCUUAUGUUUGUCACUGCUGGCCACAUCUCUGCUCUGCGGAAGCCUACGGGUGAGCCUGCCCAGCUGAAUAAACAGGGGCCAGGACUGAAGGCUCAGGGCCGGGCAUGAUCCAAGCACUCACUGGUGCUUCCUCAGAUGUUUGUUUUACCAUUUUGCCAAAGAGAGAUUGAAGGAGCCUUAAAACAGGUGGGGAGAAGUUCCAUAAAGUUCUUCAUCAGGAAGCUCGGAAAACCGCUUGGCAAAGGCAUAUCUAGAGACCCGGUUACAUGAAUGGAAAAGGAUUGGUCGGUAGGCACAGGCAUACUCCUCUGAAAAUGCUGAAAAUCUGUUCAACUCUGCGGCUCAGGUUGAGACAAAUGCUGUGACCGCUUCAUAAAUCAUGGUAGAAGGAAAUCAAAAGAGAAAUGUCUGUGAGGACUUUAUAUGAGUAUUUCUUUUCCAAAUGUGGAACAUCCCAUUCUUGGAACAUACUGCACAGGGAAAGUGUGUGGCCCUGGGAAGCACUGAGUUAUAAAGUAGUAUUCCACUGAGAAUUCUAGGAGCAAGCCAAAAUACAGAGAAACCCUGAGUAGCUGCUUUUUCAAUCACAUAAUACAACUGUGGUAGAUUAUAAUGUCCCAGGCAGUAUUCACGAAGAGGAAAGGGUUAGUGGUUUGGCCUGCGGUAACGAAGCUGACUUCACUGUCUGCUGCGCUUGUCCAGCAGCUAGUAAUCUCCACCUCUUUUUCCAUCACUUUCACUUGUGUGAGUUAUUUCUCACCAGACCACGGUAAAUGCCACUAGAAGCCUCAUAGCAGUGCUUCACGUUUACCAGCGGGAAGGACACCAACACCAGCCCACUACUCAAGAGUGGACAGAAUUGAACCUGCGUUUUAAGGAAACAGGUCCCAAACGCACUUUUUGUAGAAUCUAAGCAGUGACAUUUCCAAGUCUAUUGAGCCCUUGUAUUAACAUAUGAAUAUCCAGCCCUAAAAACUAGAAACAAGCUAUCAGUGAAAAUGCUUUGUUAUGUGCUAUUUUAUAUAACACAGUGGAACCUGUGUUUUGAUUCAGCAAGUUUGAAACACACUUUUUUGUGGAAUUUAUGAAGUGUAACACUUUCCAAAUUUGUCCUUACAUUGAAGUUUUUUAUACUAUUGCCUAAUUCAGCAACUUUCAGUUAUAACAGAUUCUCUAGUCUAGACAUAAAGUACAUUUUAAAGUAUUUGAAUAUAGUGCCCCAAUCUUGCAGCUAUCUCUUUGCACCCUCCUCUUUUAGAACUUUUAAAAAUUAAUACGUUUGUUCUGCCAUCCGUCCAUCCACCCAUUCACUUGUUCAUUCAACUGAGAGAUACUAGCAUAAAUACACUGUGCCUAGUCUUGGUGCCAUGUGAGGGAGUUACAAAAAUAACAAUGACAACAUUAGUGACAGACUCUCAUAUAUCACUUGCCACUUGCCAGGAACACUUCUAUGCUCUUAACAUAUUAACUGUUAAUCCUUGUAACAACUAUGGAGAAGUUGUUAGCUGUUGAACUAUGAGACGAUACUAUUAUUACCAUGUGCAGAUGAGGAAACUAAGAUUAAUGAGACAUGGUCUUUGCUUUCAAAGGAGUUUACAGAGUAGUAAGAAGUCAAAUUAUAUGUGCAUAAAAGAGUGAAGUUAACAUUGUUGGUUCUAAGUAUCAAUACAAGCUUGCAAAAUUAAUGGCAUAGGAUAGUUUCAUACAGUACAAGGGAGUGUGUCUUACAUCAGGUUCUCCCAAAAGCAGACACUGAGUUAAGGAUUUGGGUGGUCAUGAUUGAUUAGGAAAUUGCUCUCUAGAGGAAUCAGUAAGGAAUGGAUACAAGAUAGGAAAGAGGAAGAAGCCAGCACAAGGGUACUUUCAGGGGAAGGUCUAGCUUCAGCCCGAUUCCAUGGAGAAUAUUGGAGUAUAAAUUAUACCUUGCAUGUUGUGAUGGUUAAUACUGAGUGUCAACUUGAUUGGAUUUAAGGAUGAAAAAUAUUGUUCCUGGGUUUGUCUGUGAGGGUGUUGUCAAAGGAGAUUAACAUUUGAGUCAGUGGACUGGGAAAGGCAGACCCAUCCUCAAUCUGGGUGGGCACAAUCUAAUCAGCUGCCAGCUUGGCCAGAAUAAAACCAGGCAGAAGAACAUGGAGAGAUUAGACUUGCUUAGCCUCACAGCCUACAUCUUUCUCCCAUGCUAGAUGCUUCCUGCCUUUGAACAUUGGACUUCAAGUUCUUCAGCUUUGGGACUUGGACAGGCUUCCUUGCUCCUUAGCUUGCAGAUGGCCUAUUGUGGGACCUUGUGAUUGUGUGAGUUAAUACUCCUUAAUAAACUACCCUUAUAUAUACAUCUAUCCUAUUAGUUCUGUCCCUCUAGAGAACCCUGACUAAUAGAGAUUACCUGCCUAGAAGCAAGGGAACUGAGCAUUUGAAUGCUCCCCCCAUCAAUAAUUGGCUCAUGAGUCUCCCUGUGGUUGGGAAACAUGUAAAAAUCCCAUGCCUAUUAGGUAUGUCAGUCAAGUGGUGGAAAUGGUGGACUAGGGUAGGCAGCUCCAAUGCCCAAGAUCAGUCCUUUUAUUAUCUUGGGUUUAAGCCAUUUGCAACAAAGCAUGCAGAAGCUGGGGUACAUGGAAUUGAUAGAAGAGGUCUGAGAGGAUCUGGAGGGUGAGUAUCAACAUAACUGCUAUAGUUCACCUCUUGUAUUUCACAGAUGAGCUUGCUUCUCUCACUCCAUCCUUAAGCUCACUCCAUCUCAUCACAGUAUCUUCCAAAUUCUGGUUGGUUAAAGAUCCUGGGGGAAACUUCUAAGAAAUAGGUUAAUGGAAUAAGCUGAGUGCUCACUACUGCAGUUUGUCUUGAGAUUGUACCAUCUAUUUGUCCUUUUCUUCUUCUACCACCCUUUCUAGAUUUCCCUUGCCCUUGGAUACCACUUCUGCUAGUUUAGGUGGCUUUCUUGGUGACAUGACCCUGACCUUCAACCCUUAAAGGCCUGAGCCCCUGGCUACCAUGCUUUUAUCAGGCCAUGGUUGCUGUAACUACCCAUUCCCACUUAAUGCUGGCCGUGGGAAUAUCAAGAAAUGUCCCAGAGAACCACCUGAAUUCUGAACAUAUUCCUCCACACCUUCAUUAGGUAGCGCAAUUCUACGUCCUCAUGAUGUCAGGGUCAACUCUCCUGCUAGUAUGGUGACUUUUAUUUCUGGUAUAGUGGCAGCAACCAGUUAUCAGUCAUAGCUUUUUAAAUGAAAUUCUUAAUGUGUCCCCUGGUGGAAGUACACCUCAUCUGUGAAACAGGACCUGAGACCCACAGUGGCUGAGUUUGGGGAGACAAGAAGUACAAAUUCCCCAAGUGGGAGUGAUGGUAAGUAGGUCCACUUUCUACUCUCACCACUUGAAUUCUGGAAUCAAUUAUUCUAUCUAUUGACAACAUAGGACCCCACCUUCAGAGGAUUAUCAUCUCCAAGCUGGCACCUCAACUCUGCCUAACACUGUUAGGCCAGCAGCCUCUGGAUGAUAUAGUACGUGGUAGGACGAGUGGAUUCCACAGUCUUGUGCCCAUGGCCAGACAUCCAAGGCAUUGUCACAUAGUAUGCCCUGCUGGUUAAUCAGAUGCUCUUUAACCCUUCAUCAGAUAGUGAUGUUGUUUGAGGCCCGUGGGCAGGAAAGGCAAGCCCAUUCCUGGAAUACGUGACAAUCCCAAUGGGAAGAAAAUGUUUGGCUUUCCAGAGUGAAUGGAGUCCAAUGUAAUCAACUUGCUGCCAAGUGACUGGUUGUUUUACUUGAGGGUUAGUACCAUAUUUGGGCUCCAGUGUAAGCUUCUGUUUCUGACAGCUGAGACAUUCAGCAAUGCCAGUAGUUAGAUCUGCCUUGCUAAGAGGGAGCCCAUGGGUCUGUACAUAGUGUCUUUGUUUCUGGUAUCCUGGCUUCUCUGUUCGUGGGCCUAUUGCACAAAAAUUGGGAUGGCCAAGAACCAAGGUGAGCUCAUAUCCAUUGGAAGAGCUACUCUGUUCAGCUGGUUAAUGUCUCUUCUGGGUAGACGCUUACUUGUGGGCCUUAAAUAUGUGCUAUAAAGAUGCUCACACUUUGAGACCACUUCCAUAGGUUAAUCCACAUGUUCAUCUCCAGACUAUUUAUUCCUGAUUUUCCAAUUUUUCUUCCUCUAGGCCCCUGGUUAAUCAGCCACUACUAUCCAUGAGGCUAUAUACAGUCAUUCCUUGGUAUCCACUGGGGAUUGUUGCCAGGAUUCCCCUUGGAUACCAAAAUCUGUGGAUGUUCAAGUCCCUUAUAUAAAAUGACAUGGUAUUUACAUAUAACCUACGCACACAAUCCCGUAUACAGUAAAUCAUCUCUAGAUUGCUUAUAAUACUCAACACAAUGUAAAUGCUAUGUAAAUGUUCUUAUACUAUAUAUUUUUUAAAAUUUGUUGGCCGGGCGCGGUGGCUCACGCCUGUAAUCCCAGCACUUUGGGAGGCCGAGGCGGG
This 6659-nucleotide long non-coding RNA is filed under the name Homo sapiens (human). RNAcentral describes it as "HSALNT0316951". The record is from RNAcentral. Lineage: Eukaryota; Metazoa; Chordata; Mammalia; Primates; Hominidae.